CUGCCUCUCAGCUGUGACUGCGACUGCCUUAGCAAGGCCGGGAUGCUGGAAACACUGACUGCCUGGGGACAAGGGGCUGGGGAGCCCGGAGCUUCCAGGGAGAGAGCCCUCUUUCACUGGCCUCCAGGCUGCGCUGGGUGGAGUCAGGCUCUCCCUGACAUCCUCUGUCCUGCCGGCUUCCAGGAGGCCUGAGGCCUGGCCGGCAGCUCUGCUUGGGGGGCCCGGCCCCCUGGGAGGGCUGAUGAGACCGCAGCUUCAGAGGCAGCUUGUGCCCUGGCCCCAGUCCAGAGUCUCAGUCCCACCAUCGUGUGCUUGUCACCCUGGAUAGCAGUUCCCCCACCAGACCCAGGGUGGUGGUGCUGGGCAGGCCUGGGGCAAGGCGAGCAGUGGGGGACAGGCCAGCCAGGUGCAGGAGCCUCUGGCCCUGACCCCCGGGGCCCGGAAUUUGGGCACCUGGUGGAAACUCUACACCCCAGUGAAAACCUCAGCCCGGGAAGACCGCUCUGGUCAUCGAGCCCCUGAGACCCCCAUCUCUGCUCCCAUCGUGGCCUAAAUCCAUCAUGAGCCCAGGUGUCAGGAGUCUGUUCAGAGCAAUCUGGGGACACGCUCAGGACCAUGGAGGUGAGGGGGAGCAGGAAGUGGCUGAGCUAUCCUCCUUCCUGAAGGUCGUCGUUUCUUUGAGGCUACAGGGCUGGUCACCUACAGAGCAUGGCCUGACCCCUCUUCCCUUUAGUCCCACGCUUCCUCAGUGUCUUCGAGCUCCUCAAACUCCAAUGUGCCCUACCUGAGGGGUGCUCACCCACAAAGGCCAAUCCUUCUCCUGCUGACGGUCUGAUCGCUGGAGGGCUUUUUUCUCCCGUGUGGGGUGUGUUGAGGUAACAACGCCUUCCCUCUCACAGGGAGAAUAACAAGGUUCCUAGGAGAAGCAACUGAGGACAGCCAGGACCUUCCCAUUCAAGGGUAGCCGCAGGAAACAGGUCACAGGCCCCAGGACAGAGCCUGAGUUCCUCGGGACAUCCCAGAGCUGCCUUGGGAGUGAAGGGACUGGGGCGGCCCAGGAGGGAGGCAGGGCCUGAACCUCUGCCCUUGAAAAUGGAAGAGCCUCUGGCCGCCUCGAGUCCCAGGGUGAGGGUUCUUUCCACCGGACUCCUCUAUUGUCCAUGAAUAAUUUGCACCGGCCUGGCAAGGCAGUCCCUGACCACAUCCCUCUUCUCACUUUUCUGGAACAUCAACGCCAGCUUCUCUGCUCUCCUUCGGGCCGCUCUCCCGCCCGCUCUGGCAAGCUGGAGGACCCGUGUGUUCAAAAUCCUUGGUCAGUUCGUUCCCCUCCUGGAAGGAAGACAACCAGAGAAUGUCCCUGUCCUUGUCAGCACGCGAUCCUCUGCAGCUGUUAAAAACAAUAAAAGAAAUGAAGACUUUCUCUACCUC
Molecule: long non-coding RNA, 1428 nt
Organism: Mustela erminea (ermine)
Lineage: Eukaryota; Metazoa; Chordata; Mammalia; Carnivora; Mustelidae
Exons: 3
Source: RefSeq, a predicted model, not a curated record